Molecule: transfer RNA, 70 nt
Filed under: Ptilomera tigrina
Lineage: Eukaryota; Metazoa; Arthropoda; Insecta; Hemiptera; Gerridae
Description: tRNA-Ser
Rfam family: tRNA
About the family: Transfer RNA (tRNA) molecules are approximately 80 nucleotides in length. Their secondary structure includes four short double-helical elements and three loops (D, anti-codon, and T loops). Further hydrogen bonds mediate the characteristic L-shaped molecular structure. tRNAs have two regions of fundamental functional importance: the anti-codon, which is responsible for specific mRNA codon recognition, and the 3' end, to which the tRNAs corresponding amino acid is attached (by aminoacyl-tRNA synthetases). tRNAs cope with the degeneracy of the genetic code in two manners: having more than one tRNA (with a specific anti-codon) for a particular amino acid; and 'wobble' base-pairing, i.e. permitting non-standard base-pairing at the 3rd anti-codon position.
Source: RNAcentral
AGUUAAUUAAGCUUUAGAAAAGCACAUAUUUUGAAAAUAUGAGAUAAAUGUUAAAUUCAUUUAUUAACUU